Molecule: ribosomal RNA, 468 nt
Filed under: uncultured bacterium
Lineage: Bacteria
Description: partial 16S ribosomal RNA
Rfam family: Bacterial small subunit ribosomal RNA
Source: RNAcentral
GACGAACGCUGGCGGCGUGCUUAACACAUGCAAGUCGAACGGAAAGGCCCUGCUUUUGUGGGGUGCUCGAGUGGCGAACGGGUGAGUAUAACGUGUGUAAACUGUCCUUGUCUUUGGGAUAACUUCAGGAAAAUGGGGCUCAUAUCGGAUAGGAGCUCUUGCUGCAUGUUGUGGGAUGGAAAGUUUCGGCGGUGGUGGAUGGACUAGCAGCUUAUCAGCUUGUUUGUGAGGUAGGUGCUUACCAAGGCUUUGACGGGUAGCCGGCCUGAGAGGGUGACCAGCCACAUGAGGACUGAGGUACGGCGCAGAAUCCUACGGGACGCAGCAGUGGGGAAUAUUGCACAAUAACCGGGAGCCUGAUGCGACAACGCCGCGUUCGGAAUGACGGCCUUCGAGUUGUAAACCACUUUCGCCGUAAACGAGGCGUGAGUGACGGUAAUGAGUAAGAAAGCACCGGCUAACUACGUG